This 468-nucleotide ribosomal RNA is filed under the name uncultured bacterium. Its description in RNAcentral is "partial 16S ribosomal RNA". It matches the Rfam family "Bacterial small subunit ribosomal RNA", at positions 28 to 507 of the family's 1533-position model. The record is from RNAcentral.
GACGAACGCUGGCGGCGUGCUUAACACAUGCAAGUCGAACGGAAAGGCCCUGCUUUUGUGGGGUGCUCGAGUGGCGAACGGGUGAGUAACACGUGAGUAGCCUGCCCUUGACUUUGGGAUAACUUCAGGAAACUGGGGCUAAUACCGGAUAGGAGCUCCUGCUGCAUGGUGGGGGUUGGAAAGUUUCGGCGGUUGGGGAUGGACUCGCGGCUUAUCAGCUUGUUGGUGGGGUAGUGGCUUACCAAGGCUUUGACGGGUAGCCGGCCUGAGAGGGUGACCGGCCACAUUGGGACUGAGAUACGACCCAGACUCCUACGGGAGGCAGCAGUGGGGAAUAUUGCACAAUGGGCGGAAGCCUGAUGCAGCAACGCCGCGUGCGGGAUGACGGCCUUCGGGUUGUAAACCGCUUUCGCCUGUGACGAAGCGUGAGUGACGGUAAUGGGUAAAGAAGCACCGGCUAACUACGUG